AUACUUACCAGGCAGGGUAGAUACCAUAAUUAUGAAGGUGAUUUUCCCAGGGCGAAGCUUAUCCAUUGCACUCUGGAUGUGCUGACCCCUGCAAUUUCCCCAAAUGUGGGAAACUCAACUGCGUAAUUUGUGGUAGUGAGGGACUGUGUUAGCAAUCUCCCCUG
Molecule: small nuclear RNA, 164 nt
Organism: Erinaceus europaeus (western European hedgehog)
Lineage: Eukaryota; Metazoa; Chordata; Mammalia; Eulipotyphla; Erinaceidae
Gene: U1
Rfam family: U1 spliceosomal RNA
About the family: U1 is a small nuclear RNA (snRNA) component of the spliceosome (involved in pre-mRNA splicing). Its 5' end forms complementary base pairs with the 5' splice junction, thus defining the 5' donor site of an intron.
Source: Ensembl